Molecule: ribosomal RNA, 497 nt
Filed under: uncultured bacterium
Lineage: Bacteria
Description: partial 16S ribosomal RNA
Rfam family: Bacterial small subunit ribosomal RNA
Source: RNAcentral
GAUGAACGCUGGCGGCGUGCCUAAUACAUGCAAGUCGAGCGGACGGACGAGGAGCUUGCGUCUUGGAUGUUAGCGGAGGGGGGGUGAGUAACACGUGGAUAACCUACCUAUAAGACUGGGAUAAUCUGGGGAAAGCGGCGCUAAUCCGGGAGGAUAUUCUGCAGCGCAGGGUGCAAAAGUGAAAGUCGGUGGUGCGGUCACUUAUAGAUGGAUACGCGCUGGAUUUGCUAGUUGGUGAGGUAAAAGCUUAGGAAGGCAACGAUGCAUAAGCGAACGGAGAGAGUGAUAGCCCACCCGGGAGCGGAGACAGGGACAAGGCGCCUACGAGACGCCGCAGAAGGGAACCUGCCGCAAUGGGCGAAAGCCUUACAGAGCAACGCCGCGUGUGUGACGAAGGUCUUCGGAGCGUAAUGAUCUGUUAUGAGGUAAGAACAGAUGUGUAAGUAACUGUGCACAUCUUGACGGUACCGAGUCAGAAAGCCCCGGCUAACUACGUG